CAUUACGGUCAUAAAACCUGAAACGUGCCUGAUCUCAUCCGAUCUCGGAAGAUUAAGAGCUGGGGAAGACUUAUUUACCACAGACAGAAAGCAGAACUGUCAAGG
RNAcentral lists this ribosomal RNA (105 nucleotides) under Lates calcarifer (barramundi perch). The record is from RNAcentral. Lineage: Eukaryota; Metazoa; Chordata; Actinopteri; Centropomidae.